GACAACGCUGGCGGCGUGCCUAACACAUGCAAGUCGAGCGAGGAGAGUUCCUUCGGGAACGAACCUAGCGGCGACGGGUGAGUAACACGUGGGCAACCUGCCUUGUAGAGGGAAUAGCCUUCCGAAAGGAAGAUUAAUACCGCAUAACAUUACAGUUUCGCAUGAAACAGUAAUUAAAGGAGUAAUCCGCUACAAGAUGGGCCCGCGGCGCAUUAGCUAGUUGGUGAGGUAACGGCUCACCAAGGCGACGAUGCGUAGCCGACCUGAGAGGGUGAUCGGCCACAUUGGGACUGAGACACGGCCCAGACUCCUACGGGAGGCAGCAGUGGGGAAUAUUGCAUAAUGGGGGAAACCCUGAUGCAGCAACGCCGCGUGAGUGAUGAAGGUUUUCGGAUCGUAAAGCUCUGUCUUCGGGGACGAUAAUGACGGUACCCGAGGAGGAAGCCACGGCUAACUACGUG
Molecule: ribosomal RNA, 461 nt
Filed under: uncultured bacterium
Lineage: Bacteria
Description: bacterial SSU rRNA
Rfam family: Bacterial small subunit ribosomal RNA
Source: RNAcentral